RNAcentral lists this ribosomal RNA (477 nucleotides) under uncultured bacterium. RNAcentral's name for it is "SSU rRNA". It matches the Rfam family "Bacterial small subunit ribosomal RNA", at positions 26 to 521 of the family's 1533-position model. The record is from RNAcentral.
AGGACGAACGCUGGCGGCGCGCCUAACACAUGCAAGUCGAGCGAGAACCAGGGCUUGCCCUGGGGAAAGCGGCGAACGGGUGCGUAACACGUGAGCAACCUGCCCCAAAGACCGGGACAACCCGAGGAAACUCGGACUAAUACCGGAUGCCCUCGCCGGGCCGCAUGGUCUGGUGAGGAAAUGGAUUCCGCUUUGGGAUGGGCUCGCGGUCUAUCAGCUUGUUGGUGGGGUAACGGCCUACCAAGGCGACGACGGAUAGCUGGUCUGAGAGGACGAUCAGCCACACUGGGACUGAGACACGGCCCAGACUCCUACGGGAGGCAGCAGUAGGGAAUCUUGCGCAAUGGGCGAAAGCCUGACGCAGCCAUGCCGCGUGAAUGAUGAAGGUCUUAGGAUUGUAAAAUUCUUUCAGUCGGGGACGAUAAUGACGGUACCGCAGAACGAAGCCCCGGCUAACUUCGUGCCAGCAGCCGCGGU